GCCCGGCUGGCUCAGUCGGUGGAGCAUGCGACUCUUGAUCUCCGGGCCGUGGGUUCGAGCCCUACAUUGGGUA
RNAcentral lists this transfer RNA (73 nucleotides) under Ailuropoda melanoleuca (giant panda). It matches the Rfam family "tRNA". Rfam says of the family: Transfer RNA (tRNA) molecules are approximately 80 nucleotides in length. Their secondary structure includes four short double-helical elements and three loops (D, anti-codon, and T loops). Lineage: Eukaryota; Metazoa; Chordata; Mammalia; Carnivora; Ursidae. The record is from Rfam by way of RNAcentral.